AUGUGGGGGCUGUCGGCGGGGACGCUGCUGAAGCCGGUGUGCAGGUGGCUGCUGAAGCGGCUCGGGGACCUCACCCUGGGCGACCUCGACCUCGACCAGUUGGACCUCCAGCUCACCCGCGGCACGCUCCAACUCUCCGACCUCGCGCUCAACGCCGACUUCAUCAACGCCAAGCUAUCAGGAUCUCCUAUCACAGUUAAAGAAGGAUCUAUAAAAUCCCUGCUAGUUAAAUUACCUUUACAGUUAAGGAGUUGGAAGAUUGAGAUCGUAGUGGAAGGGUUGGAGUUUGUACUUGCACCAUCUGUUGCUAUUGAAGCCUCACCUGUAGAUACCGAGUGCUCUGUUUCUGCUGGUAAUAGUGAUACAGAGGCGAGAUUGGCUGAGACCAAGAGGAAUGAACCUGAUAGUAAUCCCUGCUCUACUUCUGCAUCUCGAGAUGUGGAUGAUGGUGUGAAGAGAAUAGCCAACGCCAUCAAGCACUUUCUUACAAGAUUUAAUAUCAAGUUGAAAAAUACGUAUGUAGUAUUUGAUCCUCAAAGCAUUUUGGAUAAAAAGGCCUUGGAAUUUAAUUGGUCGCUAGUUUUCCGAACUAAAGAGAUACAGUGUGGAACUAAUCUUUCAACAGACGGUCCGGUCAAAUUGAAUAACUUGGUAACAUUCCAAGAGGCGGUCAUUGAGUUUUUGAAGAUGGAUGAUGUUGAUGCAAAUCUUCAGAACGAUCUGGAUAGAGGAACAGCUGACAUUUCAUCAUAUCAUAGUACUACUGCGGUCUUGACAGGUCCCAUUGGUGGAUUCUCAGGAACAUUGAACCUAAGCAUCCCAUGGAAUAGUGGAUGCUUAAACUUUCAAAAAGUUGAUGCAGACAUAUCUGUUGAUUCAUUAGAAUUGCAGUUACAGAUGAGCAGUAUCCAAUGGUUCAUGAAUGUAUAUGAUUCUCUUUGUAGGAACUCGGCAGAUGAACAUAAUUGUGUACAUAGUACUGCAGAUAUGUCUAUGAACGCCUCCAGAUCUUCCUUAUGUGCAUCCACAUCAAGCUCUUCGAAAUCAGGUUCAGCCUCUGUGAUAGCUAGCGGGGAAGGUUUGUCACAGAGAGCAUUUUCUCGAAGCAGGCAGGACAAUUUUCAGGAUGAUUUCCUCAACAAGGCACAUGUGAUUCAAGACUGGAUUCCGGAUCUUGUUGUCCACAGUGACCAAGGUGAAUUUGAUUCAGAUUGUGACGAAAGCAUCAGUCAGUUCUUUGAAUGCUUUGAGGAAUUGAGGAGCUCUCAUACCAAUUUAGGAAAUAGUGGCAUAUGGGACUGGACGUGUUCGGUAUUCAACGCAAUUACUUUUGCAUCCGCAUUAGCUUCUGGAUCCGAUCAAGUCCCUAAAGAAACACUGAUUGAGAAAACCUUACGGGCUUCCAUUGCUCAGAUAGGCAUUAUUCUUUUGUUCAGUGAUGAAAUGGAUACUGGCAGUUCCAGUAUUCCUCCGAGUCUCGUCAAAGAUAUGAGAAGUUCGGAAAUGUUUUCAAGCUGCCUUUCUCCUGCUCAUUUUGAGCGAUUGAUGAUUUCUCCUGCUACUGCUUCCAGUUUAAGUAUGCAUCAUCUUGAAUACAAGUGUCAUAACAUCCAUCUUGACCUUGAGACAUAUCCGAAAAACUUGAGGUUGAAAGCAUCGAUUGGCCACAUGAGGGUCGAUGAAUACUACAGCACUGAAAAACAUGAUUCAGAUCACACACCCGUUAGUGCUCCUUUCUUAAAUAGUGAUUAUUGCCAUGAAGUUCAAGCUGCUCUCCCUUCAUUCCCGUUUGCUGCUCAAGAUUACUGGGUGGAGUCAUCUGGAUACUGUUCGAACAAUUCAAGUGAACUAGCUAAGGUUGAAUUGCUUAAAACAUUUGGUGAUUCCACAUUCCAUUAUGAUGUUAGUAGCACAGAUCGAGGUGGCAACUCAGUAAGUUCAACUUCACUGUCAAUCUGUUUGGCUCCAUUAGUUUGGUGGGUGCAUUUCCAUACAGUACAGAUGCUACUGAAUUUUAUCAGUAAAAUUGAGUCUGAUGUGGUGCGCGGACAGCAUAAACUCCAUAUGCGAGGUGAUACAGAAAACAGUAAGUUGACUACCAAAACUAAUAUUUCACCAAGUGGGAGUCUAAAGGUUCAGAUGGCUCUCUCACCUUCAAGAAUCAUCAUUUGCUUUCCUACUGAGUCCCCAUGGGAUUUAAGCCGCCCAUCCAUCCUGGAUACAUUCCUUGUCAUUGACCGCACAUCAUCUCUGGACUCAGGGGAAGCUUCGUCUCCAUUCGGAAAGGAAAGGCCUAAUGAUGCUCAUUCCGGCAUACCAUCUACCUCACUCCAUUUGGCUGCUGGGAACUUCGACAUGUAUUUGCUUAGACCGAUGAGCUAUGAAUUGGAUGACAGAAGCCAUUCUUUGAGUAGGCAAACUUCUUUUGCUCUGAAGAUUAUCUCAGUCACUAGUUACAACUGUGGCGACUCUAGCAUUACAAUGAUCUGGAGAAAAUACCCUGUAACUGGCCCUGAGAUGGUUAGUAAAGCUUGGAGUUUGCCAAACCUUCAUGACCAAAAAAUUACUCAGAGAGAAAGGGGCAAUUUUGUUGGUGCCUCUUAUACAACCUCACAGGAUCUCGAGAAGUCGAGUUAUAGUAUAUGCCAGGAGCUCCUUCAGAGCACCCAGUGCUUUCUGCAUAUUAAACUUUCUUCAGUUUCAGUUCAUCUCAAUAAGAAGGAUUGUGGAUUACUGAAUCAGCUAUUAGAUUGCAUUCUCAGCGGGCUGUCUGAUGGUGCAACGAGCAGCUCUGAAAGUGGAAGGGACAAAUCUAUGCCUAUCAAUGAUGUUGCCAUCCAAUCAGCUAUCACUUUUGAAUGCAGCUUUUUGGAUAUUUGUACUGAAUUAAAUGAAACUGUGGUAGUUGGUCCUUUGCUGCAGACAGAACUAGAAGGUUCCUGGAAUUGUUUUAAGCUGUCCAUUUCAAAAAUUUCCCUGUGCUCUUUUUCUAAUGUAGGCGGAAUCAAUAAUGCCAGUUUUCUUUGGGUGAAUCAUGGUGAAGGUGAGCUUUGGGGUUCUAUUACUGGUACAAAUGAUAAAGCCUAUGCCGAAAGCAAAGUUUUUCUCCUAGUUGUCUGUAAGGACUCUGCUAACAUGCGAGGUGAUGGCGAAGGAAACAAUGCACUAUAUUUUGGAACUUCUGGCUGUUCUGUGACCCACAUCAGGAACCCAAAUCUACAAGAGAACUAUACUUCUGUCAAUUUUCGUUCUGGGACAAUUGUGGCACCUGGUGGACGCAUGGAUUGGAUCAGUGCAAUGUGCCUGCUGUUUAAUGCAGGUUCACACGGAACUGAACAGUCCAAUAACAGCAGAACAGAGGAUAAUUCAUGUCCUGGUGACCGGUCAUCUUUUUUUCUUGAGUUGGUUGAUGUUGCUGUGAGCUAUGAAUCUCAUGUAAAAAAUUCCACCUUCAGCGCUGAAGCUACUGAUUGCAAGUCUUUCUCAUGCAUUUUAGCCGCAUCAUUAUUUAAACUCCACAGUAUAUCUGCACCAGACUCUGCAGCUACAGAUUUUGAUAUCCAGCUGCGAGAUCUCGGGCUUUUCAUCUGUGAAUCAUUUGGUUCCAAAAAUGCCACUUGCGGCUAUGGUGUUGAUUAUCUUCGUAAAAUGGGUUACACUAAGAUUGCCCGUGACACGUUCAUUGAAGCUGCUCUAAGAAUUGACACUUCCUUUUGGAAGCUUGAAAUAUCAGAUUCACAAUUUGAUAUUGGUACAUGUCGUGAUACAACACAUGGUCUUAUUUGCUUGUGUUCCCAACUCCAGAAGCUAUAUGCUCCAGACAUGCAUGAUGCUUUAGUUCAUCUAUACAAUCUAGGUGGAAUAGUUGACGCAUCAGACAAGUCAGAGAGCAGCAUUGACAACUUGGCAUAUUCUGGAGAGUGCUUGUCAGAUGGACUACUUAAUGAUAUAAUUGAGAAUGCUUUUUACACAGACCAGGACUACAAAGCCUACAAUUUUUCUAGCAGAAAUUGUCACAACUCACCAAGUAGCAACGGAAUGGAUGUUGAGUCUGAGUCGCCCACCCCUGGGGCAACUGACGUCAGUGUUCCACACAUUUUGUUUGGAUCAUCAUUAGCUACUCCAAAAAUCAAUACGACUGAAAUACCAUUGAAACAGGACUCCUGUCAUGAACAAAUUAUUGACUCUUAUUAUAUGCCUGACACAUCAUCGUCAACUCUAUGUAAUGUAGGAUAUCAAUGUAUAUCUGGUGAUGAUGCUUACAAAACCAUGGAAUUUGAAGAUGGUGGAUGGUAUAACAGUAUUCCCUUGACAAUAGUUGAGAGUCAUGUUCCGGAAAGGAACAACCCACAAGGAGGGCAUGUGGCCGGCCAAGAAGGGAAGCCUACUGUUUGCAGCUUGAAUUAUGAGGAAUCUUGUUAUUUGAAAGGAAAGGUUAUAAUUCAUGAUGUAAAUGUCAAUUGGCGAAUGUAUGCUGGAGAUGACUGGUCAUUAGCUCAGAAAGAUAAUUUCUUAUCUCGGGGCUUGGUGUACAGUGAUAUGUAUCCAGAUGGGGGUGUUUCUGUUUCUAAGUUAUCUAUAUCUGCACGGGACAUAAAUCUUUGUGAUCAAAGGGUGGAUGCUCCAUGGAAAAUGGUUCUUGGCUGCUACGACUCAGAUUACCCAAGAGAAUCUUGUUCUAGUGCAUUCACGUUAGAACUGGAGUCUGUAAAGCCCGAGCCACAGAGUCCUUUGGAAGAUUACAGAUUGUGCCUUGAGAUUUUGCCUCUUCAAUUGCAUCUUGAUCAAGGGCAGCUUAAGUUCCUCAUGUGUUUCUUUCAGAAUGACUCUUGUGACAACAGCUCUCAUUUGCCUUGCAAAAAUGAUAUUGUUCAUAUAGAGAGCACAACCUAUGGAAGCAAUACAGUUCUGGAUGAGGCAUUACUUCCAUUCUUUCAGAAAUUUGAUGUCAAGCCUAUUGUUCUGCACAUCAACUAUAUCCCUCGUCAGUUUGAUCCUAUUGCACUAGGCAAAGGAAAUUAUGCAGAACUUCUCAACAUCCUUCCGUUGAAGGGAAUCGAUUUGAAGCUUAAACAUGUUUCUGCAAUGGGGGUGUAUGGGUGGAAUAGUAUUUGUGAAACAAUUGGUGCAGAGUGGUUGGAGGACAUAUCUAAAAAUCAGGUCCAUAAAUUGUUAAAAGGGCUUCCCCCUUUAAAAUCAGUCAGUGCCGUUGUUUCAGGCACUAAGAAAUUGAUAUCUUUACCCAUCGAAAGUUACAAGAAAGACCGGAAGUUGGUCAAGGGAAUGCAAAGAGGUGCUGUUGCCUUUAUCAGAAGUGUUUCCAUUGAAGCUGUAGGGCUUGGUGUCCAUUUGGCAGCGGGAGCUCAUGAUAUGCUGCUGAAGGCAGAACAUGCCCUUACAGCUCUUCCACCACCUUUAGCCACGUGUGAAGCUAAAAGAAACAAAGAUAACGUAAGGGCAAACCAACCCGAAAAUGCGACACAAGGAAUAAAGCAGGCUUAUGAAAGCUUUACUGAUGGACUUGGAAGGACUGCCUCUGCUUUGAUUGGGAACCCUAUUAACGCGUAUAAUCGCGGGGCUGGUGCCAGAUCAGCACUGACUACUGCAAUUUGUGGAGCUCCAGCUGCUGUAGUAGCUCCAGUAUCAGCAACUGCCCGUGCUGUACAUUAUGCACUUCUUGGUAUAAGGAACAGCCUUGAUCCUAGACGCAAGAAAGAAUCUAUGUACAAGUACCUGGGGCCUUCUCAACUGUAG
This 5754-nucleotide ribosomal RNA is filed under the name Triticum aestivum (bread wheat). Its description in RNAcentral is "partial small subunit ribosomal RNA". The record is from RNAcentral. Lineage: Eukaryota; Viridiplantae; Streptophyta; Magnoliopsida; Poales; Poaceae.